GCCGGCCUAGCUCAACUGGUAGAGCAACUGACUUGUAAUCAGUAGGUUGGGGGUUCGAGUCCUCUGGCCGGCA
Molecule: transfer RNA, 73 nt
Filed under: Salsuginibacillus halophilus
Lineage: Bacteria; Bacillati; Bacillota; Bacilli; Caryophanales; Bacillaceae
Rfam family: tRNA
About the family: Transfer RNA (tRNA) molecules are approximately 80 nucleotides in length. Their secondary structure includes four short double-helical elements and three loops (D, anti-codon, and T loops).
Source: Rfam by way of RNAcentral